Molecule: ribosomal RNA, 253 nt
Filed under: uncultured bacterium
Lineage: Bacteria
Description: partial 16S ribosomal RNA
Rfam family: Bacterial small subunit ribosomal RNA
Source: RNAcentral
UACGUAGGGUGCGAGCGUUAAUCGGAAUUACUGGGCGUAAAGGGCUCGUAGGUGGCCCACUAAGUCAGACGUGAAAUCCCUCAGCUUAACUGGGGAACUGCGUCUGAUACUGGAUGGCUUGAGUUUGGGAGAGGGAUGCGGAAUUCCAGGUGUAGCGGUGAAAUGCGUAGAUAUCUGGAGGAACACCGGUGGCGAAGGCGGCAUCCUGGACCAACACUGACACUGAUGAGCGAAAGCCAGGGGAGCAAACAGG